UGAUCCUUAUUGAUAUACUCGAAAUCCAAUAAAUAAAGUAUGAAUAUCUGAAUUUUUUACUCGAUGAAUACUGGGCAGGGUAUAGAUAUAAAAAAACUAUCCCGUAGAUAUCCAUUGUGAUCCUUAUACAUAAUUUCAAUAUAUAAAAUCAAUGCAUCAAUACAUUUAUUUUUCUUUUACAAUGAUAAAAUGAUGAUAAAUGCAAAAUAUACAUAUGUUUUUAUUCCUUUUACAUUAUGCUUUUAAUGUGUUUUAAGCUUAUUUGAGCUCAUUAGCUUAUUUGAGCUCAUUGAAAGUAAUUUUAUGAGUUUGGCAUGCCUAAAAGACUUGGUGAAUUAAUUGCUAAAAGAUAAUAAAUUCUGCAUUUGAUGUUUCGAAUCUUGGUUUUUCUGACAGGUUUUUCACCAAGUUGGAGUUACAGAAUGGGAACGUGGCUUAAUAAAGGUUGAACUACACAUAUCCAGCUUUUCAAGAAGAUAUUAUGGAAAGAAAUCUGAUCUUAUUUGAAACUCUAAUAAGACCUGCAAAACCGGGAGGAAAGAAAAGAAGGGUCCCUCUACUGCUGCUACUGGAUUGCAUUUUCUCCCGGUUGCUGGAGUUGUUGAUGACGUUGCUGCUAAUCUUGACUGCAACCAACGUUGGGGAUGGAGAUCUCCACAAUGCAUUUUAAAAAAUUUAUUCCAUGCAUGAUAUUAAUUAUCUAAAUUUAUUUCUAAUCUUAUUCAUGAUUUAUUUUAAUAAACAAUUG
RNAcentral lists this long non-coding RNA (748 nucleotides) under Populus trichocarpa (black cottonwood). Its description in RNAcentral is "long non-coding RNA (PTRI_LNC000222)". The record is from RNAcentral. Lineage: Eukaryota; Viridiplantae; Streptophyta; Magnoliopsida; Malpighiales; Salicaceae.